Molecule: long non-coding RNA, 375 nt
Filed under: Homo sapiens (human)
Lineage: Eukaryota; Metazoa; Chordata; Mammalia; Primates; Hominidae
Description: HSALNT0321277
Source: RNAcentral
UUUCAUGGGAGAAGCGCUAAACUUUACCUCAACAUUUAUGUAAAGUUAAAGCUGCACAGAUUCUGAGUCUUGAAAGUUUAUUUCAAAGAAAAGACAAUGCCUGUGCCACAUAUUUGACUUGGUUUUAUAAAUAUUACGAAGCUCCAGGAAAUAUGAGCAGGAUCUCAAAUAUAUUCAACAAGAAACAACAUGGUGCUCUUUUCUGGCAGCUUCCAAUUUUUGUCUUUUGAGAUGGUUGCUCUUGGAACACAGAAAUAUGCUUUAAGAUGUCAAGCCUCCUCUGCUGAUGCUGUAUGGAGAACAGACAAGCUUUCCCAUCAAGCCCUAACCAAACUGCAGAACUGUGAAUAAAAUCAAUAAUUGUUAUGAAAAGGC